This 201-nucleotide microRNA precursor is filed under the name Paramuricea clavata. The record is from RNAcentral. Lineage: Eukaryota; Metazoa; Cnidaria; Anthozoa; Malacalcyonacea; Plexauridae.
UUGCGUUUUUCAUACGUACGUAUACGCACGUAAAACUUUAAAUCCGUUUAAAUGUUACUUAUGAAAUAACCAAAUAAAUAAAGCAACAGAAUUUAGUGUUCCGCAAGUUUUAGUAUGCAUUUGUUAACUUAUUUGUAAAAUAUUUAAAAAAUAGAAGGAUUCAAAGUUUUACGUGCGUGUACGUGCGUACGAAAAACGCAA